GGAAUAAUUUCUUUGCUCACUUCGGGCAGGAAGCUGCAGUGAACUACAGAAAGUUCACAACCCUUUCCUAGAAUGUCUGUUAGACAUUUCUAAAAACAAACACAACAAUCUACUCUCUUUUCAAGUUUCUACCAUCUAUAUAUGUCUUCAUUGACAAUAAGCCCACAUAUAUAAAGUAUAAACUAAACCCAUCAAAAUCUUGAACAAAGAUACAAUCUUUACUUUUCUUGAUUAAGGUGAUCACUAAGUAGGAGCAGCAGCAAAGUCAACACUUGAAAUGGCCUCUAUUGUCAGAGUUGCUGUUUUGAUAUGGGCUGAUUUGUUAGCUUGGUUUUCUAUGUGGGUCAUGGUUAAUUACUUAACUAAUGAAUGGAAGAUGAGUCCCUUUCAUGCUGCUGGGAUUGUGAACAUCUCAGAAGGCACGGCUGCAAUUUUGUCCGUGGUCUUUGCGUUCUUCGUCGAUGCGUUCAUGGGGAAUUACUGGAUGCUCUUGCUCUCAAGUGUUUCUUACACCAUUGGUCUGGGGUUACUGUUUCUCUCAACACCAGAUUUCCUCUCUAAUAGCAGUCAUGACACACAAAAAAUUCUGUUGUACACAGCUCUACCUUUAAUAGUUGUAGGAAUAGCUGGUCACAUGGUGUCUCUAGCACCAUUUUUGGAUGAGCAAAACACUGAGAAAGGUAGAAAAUUUCUGUAUCAACUACCCGGUAUGAUUAUUGUGGUUAUCGUUGGAGUAGCUGGGGCUAUCGCACUUCCACAUAUAAAGCCUUGGUCAAUCCGGUUUGGGGUUCCAGCCAUAUGUACUCUGGGGGCAACACUUCUGUUCUUGAGUGGUUCAUUUUCGUACAAAUCCGGGAGUCCAAAAGGCAGUUCAUUAACAAUCCUGUUCAGAGUUUUUGUUGCUUCUGCUACCAACAUGUUUAAACCACUGCCAACUAAUACUGAUCAGCUGUACGAACACCAUGGUCAUGGUCUUCGCUCAUUGACUCGUACUCCUGGCCUCAGGUGCUUAGACAAAGCUGCAAUUGGUCCGACAACAGUUGAAGAACAAAAACAGAACAAAUGGAGACUUUGCAGUAUAACAGAAGUUGAAGAAACCAAGGCUGUCAUACGCAUGAUCCCUGUGUGGAUGACAUUCAUUAUUUGUGGUAUAGUGCUUUCGGUUGGAAACACUUACUUUCUUGAGCAAGCAAACAAAAUGGACCGUAAGGUUGGAAAAGUAAACGCGCCGAUUACAUCCUUGCUACUAGUUUUCAUCUUGGCGAAGUUCAUAAUUCCUAAAUUAUAUACAAAGAUAGCAAAUCCCUUUGGAAGAUAUGCUUCUCCAAUCGGCAUAGCUGUGGCAAUGAUAUUUUCAGUACUGAGCUGUAUCACGGCUGCAAUAGUCGAGAGACAAAGACGAAAAAUUAUUUGGAACCAUGGUUUACUAGAAAAGCCAAAUGACAAAAUUCCAAUGACAAUGUUCUGGCUGCUUCCACAAUAUAUCCUUCUUGGUGCACACGAAGGAAUUUAUAAGCACAGCAUUGCCAGUUUCUUUUCUGGUCAGGCUCCACGGUGGAUCACGGACAAAUAUCGACGAUCUUUCAGUAAUGGAAUGCUAGGACUGGGGAUAAUGAGUAGUGUUUUAUCAGUGUACAUUGUGCGGAAAGUGAGUGAAAUGGGUGGAAAAACAAGUUGGUUUCAACACACCUUGAACAAGAGUCAUUUGGACUACUAUUACUGGACGUUAGCAGGACUAAGUGCUUUUAAUCUUGUUUAUUACACAGUAUUGGCAUGCUUUUAUACUUAUGGGGACUCAAAAGUGGAAGACGUGGAAGUAGCACACAGUGAGGAAGUGUCUGCUUCACCAGCAAUUAAUAAUACACAAAGUUUAGCUUCAACGAUGGUUGAAACAUCAAACCUAAAACUGCAUGCCCGUGAAAUGAGUGACCUUGCAGGAUUUCAAAUUGCAUAUUCAAGUCUUCUCAGCCCAAAUCGGAGAUAAUAGAAUAAGUAAACAAAACAUGUAUGCACACGGCUUUCCACAAUAUGGAAGUUGGAAGCUCCAAGACAAAGUUUAGGAUUAAAUGCUUGCCUGGAUUUCUCAGCCUGAUUUAGUACUUUCUCUGCCACUUGUUACUAAGAGCUAGCUGUUUGCUGCUUCGGUAUGCAUGCUAUUACUGGAGAUGAUGGCAGGAGCGCCAAUUUUGGUCAGGUUUUUGGGAAUCAACUUCUCAGAUGCUCAACAAGGAACACGGGAAAGCUGAGGAUGCACAACUUGCAAGAAAUGUGCCAUCUAUUGCUGGAAGCUGGUCAUCAUCUGUGCUAAUUACUUCUCUAUAGAUAAAUGCUAAAAUAUAUCUUUCAGGUUUUCCUUCAACAGAGUUUUUUUUUCAGGAUAUAUCUUAGAGUUUUUCCUCUAAGAUUUUAAGUAGCUAGAGUAUGUCAGUCUCUCUCGAGUACUAACACUCUCGAAACAUGAUGACACAAUUAACAACUUUUUAGUAAUUAAACUGAUCAAGUUUUUAGAACA
RNA transcript from Daucus carota subsp. sativus, 2512 nucleotides. It is a transcript of the gene named protein NRT1/ PTR FAMILY 5.5, with no coding region annotated. The record is from RefSeq and is a predicted model, not a curated record. The transcript has 8 exons. Lineage: Eukaryota; Viridiplantae; Streptophyta; Magnoliopsida; Apiales; Apiaceae.